UCAAAAUUGGAGAAAGAGAAACAAGGUAAAGAACACUUGAAAUAGAGGAAAGUGAAAAGCAAGGCAACAACUCUCAGCUUUCUCCAUCGCAUGCACAAGAUCAAUGCAACCCUUUGGUUUCUUAAUCCUAUAACCCAAUUCUGAACCAACAUCUCUUCAUUAAUCAAGAACAUACAAGAGGAUGAUUGAUAGGCCCAGAGGUCCCGAAUGGCCUAGGACCAAGAUAGUGGAAUCCAAAGUGGAAGCUGGAAAUACAGAAGUGCCAUGGACCCAUAUAAUGCAACAAUAAAAUUAGAUGAUGAUGCAGAUAAUGUAGGGAGUUCAGGGGCAACAACAACCCCUCAUACUCCAUAGAAUGUUGCAUGGACAGACUUUCGUUCAUUUUUCAAAAUGAAACCAUCCAAGUUCCUAGAUUUCCUUGAUUUCGUGGUGGCUCGUGAUUGGUUAGCUUGUAUGGAGAGAGUAUUCCAGGCCAUCAACUUUAGUGAAGAAGAAAAGUGGUCUUUUUUGCCCAGAUGAUGAAAGGAUCGGAUGGUAGAUGGUGGGAUCAUGCAUAUGCUUAUAUGACUUCUCAGAUGAUUCUAUAGGAUUGGUAACACUUCAAGACGACUUUAUUGGAUAAGUAUUAUCCUAACAGUUUGUGGUCGCAGAAAGAGCGAGAAUUCCAACAGUUCAAGUAAGGCAACAUGUUGGUGUCAGAGUAUGCAGAACAAUUUGUGUGCAUGGAUUCCUAUUCCAUACAAGAAGUCUAUACACCAAAUGAGUUGUGGAAGAUAAAUUCGUUUAUGUUUGUACUGAGAGAGGACAUUGCACACAGUUUGUCCUAGGGGGGUUCACCACAUAUGUUGGGUGUUUAAGCAAUGUUAUGUUGCUGAAAACAGCCUAAGGAUAAUCUGAGAUGAAAGGGAAUAAGGUAUGUUAGAAUACAAGGAGAAAGGGAGGUCAAGUUGGUAUUAGAAACCCCGAGAACCUCCAUCUAAGAGGAAGCAAGCUGAUUGUGACAACCCAGCACAACAACCCCAGUGCAGUAAAUGUAAGAGAAGAAAUUCUGAAAAAUGUAGGGAAGGUCAAUGGAGGCGCUUCAAGUGUGAUGACUGAUGAGCUAGCUCAUAUUGCAAAAGAUUGUCCAAAUCAUAGUUCUCAGCGAAACAUUGUGGGUUAGGUUUUCACCUUGGGAGCUAAGAAGGCAAGGGGUGAUACUAAUCUUGUUACUAAUACGUGUUAUGUAAACAAUCAACCUUUAUUUGUACUAGUUGAGAGAGGAUCAACUCAUUCCUUUAUUUCUACCAAGUGUGUAUAACAACUUAGGUUUGAAGCUACUUUCCUUCCUAGCCCAAUAGUUAUUACCUCCACUACGAAUAACAUUGAUGAAGCUCAGUGGGUCUGUAGGGAUUGUUUUAUUUCCUUUAAUGGCCGUGAAUUCUUAAUUGAUCUAA
Molecule: long non-coding RNA, 1436 nt
Organism: Lathyrus oleraceus (garden pea)
Lineage: Eukaryota; Viridiplantae; Streptophyta; Magnoliopsida; Fabales; Fabaceae
Exons: 2
Source: RefSeq, a predicted model, not a curated record